AUGAGAAUGUUCAGAAUCAAGGAGCCAGGGAACAGUCUUUUGAUUCCCCUUAUUUUUCUCAGCAUUCAGAGUUUGAUGUACUUUCUACAAGUGCUUCAUGGGGAUACUAUGGAUGUUCCUGCACAACCAUCACCUCAGGCUGUUCUCACUGGUCAACCAGUGGUGGAGGGGUCUAGUGGGGGGUCAGUUCAGUCGUCUGGACAAACCCAGUCCUCUUCCGAUGAUACUUUGGCGGUGCUUCGAAUGGCAGUUGCUCGUCUAGGACUUGAUGAGUCACCUGUACAAUCUGCCCAAACAAAUGUGUUUUUCAGACAGGCCACAGCUGCAACUUCUUUUGCCAUGCCACCAUGUAAGGAUUUUGUGGCUGAAUUCUCUAAUGCUCUCACUGGUUCUGGUCCGCCUAAGCGGCACUCAAAGAUUGCUCGAACGCUAGCAUCUAUGGCUGAAGCAGAUGCUAUCGGGGUGGGUCGUGCGCCGGAAAUAGAGCAGCCCGUGGCAGCUUUGGUGGUGUCCCCUGAUGAGGCCCUACGAGGAAAUGUGCGAUGUCCCAGUGCGCAAUGCGGUCGUACGGAUUCCUUGCUAAAAAAGGCAUAUGAGUCUGUUGCCUACAUUACUCGAGCAGAAAACACAAUCUGCCAGUUACUUCUGGCGGCCACCAGUACGCUGGAACCUGCAAAUGCGGAUCCCUCUGUUUCACAAUUUCUGCAAACUGCUCUGCUGACAACAGGCCUUGUGACCCGCGAGCUGGGUAGUCUCACAGCCACGCUUCUGGCAGCCCGACGCCAAGUGUGGCUUGCCCAAGCACGACUGCCGGAGGACUGUAAGAAGACCUUGAGAGAUCUUCCAUUUGUUCCCGGGCAUCUUUUUGGUCCAAAUGUUCCGGAACUGUUGGAGAAGAGGGUAAAGCUGUCUGAAGCCACUCGUCAACUGACACAGUUGCAGCGCAAUCCUGUGUUUAGGAUGCCAGCUGUUCAGACCCGACAUCACUAUGCCACACCGGAGCUACGUUUCCGCCGGCACGCUACACCUCAGCCACAGACCCCUCAAAGACCUCGUGUUCUUGAAGAUUCGAGAGUUUUUCGCCCACCACAUCGACAGCCUCCAGGAGGACCCCCGUCCAGCGUCCCCCGCGAACACUAA
This is a long non-coding RNA of Cyprinus carpio carpio, 1140 nucleotides long. NCBI's taxonomy places the organism in Eukaryota, Metazoa, Chordata, Actinopteri, Cypriniformes, Cyprinidae. The record is from Ensembl.